This 294-nucleotide unclassified non-coding RNA is filed under the name fungal sp. RNAcentral describes it as "partial internal transcribed spacer region". Lineage: Eukaryota; Fungi. The record is from RNAcentral.
AAGUCGUAACAAGGUAACCGUAGUGAACCUGCGGUUGGAUCAUUAAAAAAAAUUGAAGCUUCAACACUUUCAAGGGUAGAAGCGUCAGUGCUCCUUUAACAAGGAGCUUGACUACUCCAAUUUUGUGAACUUGCAACCAAAAAAUGUUUUGAUAGUGGUGAAAGAUUUGGGCCUUACCAGCCCAAGUUUUUCCCUUCUUGAAAAAAUUGUUAACCUGAAGAAAUAACUUGUGUUUACCGUUUUUUUUAUAAAUAAAAAUUAAUAAACAACUUUUGACAGGAUCUCUAGGCUCUC